CCGCUGUAAUGCAAGCUAUGAUGUGAAUUCUUGACUCGGAGCACCAUCCUUUUUAUUACAAUGCUUUUGGCUUUUUUUUGGUGAAAACCCUUUUUUUUCCAGAAAGGCGUUUGGUCCGGUGAACCCAACUCACCUGCGCUCCGGUGUGACACAUGCUGCCAAUCAACGAGAUGGACGGCUCUGAUCUCUGGUCCACCGCCAAAAGCGUCCUACCUACGGCGACCCGUCCAU
RNAcentral lists this long non-coding RNA (231 nucleotides) under Elaeis guineensis (African oil palm). Its description in RNAcentral is "long non-coding RNA (EGUI_LNC029011)". Lineage: Eukaryota; Viridiplantae; Streptophyta; Magnoliopsida; Arecales; Arecaceae. The record is from RNAcentral.